CAGCCUGUCCUGCUGCUGCCCUGAGCUGCAUCCUCUCUGGAAGCCAUGAAGCUCAGAGUGGUGCCACCACUUCCCUGCAUCUCUCUGCAUCCAGUGAUCAGCAUGACAAACACCUGCUGCUUGUUUGCUCUCUUGUCCCAUCCCCAAGCAGUGGUGUGCACACAGAUGUCUUCUGUUUAAACAAGCAAAACAUAAUAUUUUGUUUGUUUUUUUAACCUACAGAUCUUUUAAGUGGAUGUCAUUAAGCCUUUAUAGUGGAAGUGAAGUCUGUGAGGUGUGAGGGAAGAAGCAGCUGAAAAGAUAGGGGGACAGAGGAGUGAGGGGAACCUCUUCAGUUCUCCACUCUCCAUACCACAGAGCAGCUCCACCUGUAGCUCACAGAGGAGAGAAAACCACAUGGAAACAGCAGCAGAAGAUGCAUCUUAACUGACCUCUGAAAAGCUCAGAGACUGCUUGGAAGUCAAAGGCACAAACACAGGCUCUCUGGCUGGAUCCAGGAACACUGCCUUGGUGGAAACCUGCACUUAGAAAUUAAUGAAAACCUUCUGCAAUUUCCCUAGGGGCUCUCAUGGGCAUCACAGCAGGACAAACAAUGUCAGUCAUCAUCUUCCUCUUCAUCAUCGUCAUCAUGGCACAACCUGUUUUGCUCUGUCUGCAGAACAGUGCAUCAGGUCGUGACUUGAUGGCACACGAGAGGAGCGGGCAGC
Passer montanus (Eurasian tree sparrow) is the source of this 707-nucleotide long non-coding RNA. RefSeq lists it as uncharacterized. The record is from RefSeq and is a predicted model, not a curated record. NCBI's taxonomy places the organism in Eukaryota, Metazoa, Chordata, Aves, Passeriformes, Passeridae. The transcript is spliced from 4 exons.